UGGAGGCAGCAGUGAGGAAUAUUGGGCAAUGCCCGAAAGGGUGACCCAGCAACGCCGCGUGGAGGAUGAAUGCCGUAAGGUUGUAAACUCCUUUUGAGAGGGACGAAUAACUAUAAUUCGUAAGGAUUAUAGUCUGACUGUACCUUUAGAAGAAGCCCCGGCUAACUACGUGCCAGCAGCCGCGGUAAUACGUAGGGGGCAAGCGUUGUCCGGAUUUACUGGGUGUAAAGGGCGUGUAGGCGGGUUUGUAAGUCAGAGGUGAAAGCCUGCAGCUUAACUGCAGAACUGCCUUUGAUACUGCAUAUCUUGAGUUCGGAAGAGAGAAGCGGAAUUCCAGGUGUAGUAGUGAAAUACGUAGAUAUCUGGAAGAACACCAGUGGCGAAGGCGGCUUCUUGGUCCGUAACUGACGCUGAGGCGCGAAAGCGUGGGGAGCAAACAGGAUUAGAUACCCGGGUAGUCC
Molecule: ribosomal RNA, 461 nt
Filed under: uncultured bacterium
Lineage: Bacteria
Description: bacterial SSU rRNA
Rfam family: Bacterial small subunit ribosomal RNA
Source: RNAcentral